CUCAUUGUGUACUCUCCCUGCGCCAACCUUAGAAUCAAUCAUUUCUUCCAGAAGUGCUGGCUCCUUCUUGAGGAGAUUAGCACUAGAAGCCAAGGUCUGGGUACAAGUUGUGCUGGUUGAUUUUGUGGUGUCGCUAAUCCCAGGCCUCCUUAAUGGACAGAGGCUGUGACACACCCUGCUAGGUCAACUCCCACAAGGACGCCCUCCUCCCAUUGCUUGAGCUUCAACACCCACGUGAGCUGGACCACUUGCUCAUGGAAAUGCCAUCCUGACUCUGCGUAGGCUCAAGUUGCUCGUCCUGGGCUGCCUUCCUACCAGAUGUACUCAGGUUAAGAUGGAGUCAUUAAGUGGGUCCCAAUCCAAUAUGACUGGUGUCUUUACAAGUAGAGGAGAGACCCAGAGAGGAGACCACCAAGUGAAGACACAGAGACACAAGGAAGGAAGAUGGCCAUGUGAAGACAGAGACAGAGAUGGGAGUCAUGCUGCCACCAGCCAAGGAACCCCUGGGGCCACUAGAAGCUGGAAGAGGCCAGAAGGACUUUCCCUUUGAGGUUUCAGAGGGAGCUGGGCUCUGCUCACACCUUGAUUUUAGACUUCUAGCCUCCUGAACUGUGAGAGAAUAAAUUUCUGUUGUUAUAAACCAUUCAGUUUGUGGCACUUUGUUUCGGC
This 669-nucleotide long non-coding RNA is filed under the name Equus caballus (horse). RNAcentral's name for it is "lncRNA (ENSECAG00000029001.3)". Lineage: Eukaryota; Metazoa; Chordata; Mammalia; Perissodactyla; Equidae. The record is from RNAcentral.